GAUGAACGCUGGCGGCGUGCCUAAUACAUGCAAGUCGAGCGAACAGACGAGGAGCUUGCUCCUCUGACGUUAGCGGCGGACGGGUGAGUAACACGUGGAUAACCUACUUAUAAGACUGGGAUAACUUCGGGAAACCGGAGCUAAUACCGGAUAAUAUAUUGAACCGCAUGGUUCAAUAGUGAAAGACGGUUUUGCUGUCACUUAUAGAUGGAUCCGCGCCGCAUUAGCUAGUUGGUAAGGUAACGGCUUACCAAGGCAACGAUGCGUAGCCGACCUGAGAGGGUGGACGGCCACACUGGAACUGAGACACAGUCCAGACUCCGACGGGAGGCAGCAGUAGGGAAUCUUCCGCAAGGGGCGAAAGCCUGACAUAGCAACACCGCGUGAGUGAUGAAGGUCUUCGGAUCGUAAAGCUCUGUUAUUAGGGAAGAACAAAUGUGUAAGUAACUAUGCACGUCUUGACGGUACCUAAUCAGAAAGCCACGGCUAACUACGUG
RNAcentral lists this ribosomal RNA (497 nucleotides) under uncultured bacterium. Its description in RNAcentral is "partial 16S ribosomal RNA". It matches the Rfam family "Bacterial small subunit ribosomal RNA", at positions 28 to 507 of the family's 1533-position model. The record is from RNAcentral.